This 497-nucleotide ribosomal RNA is filed under the name uncultured bacterium. RNAcentral describes it as "partial 16S ribosomal RNA". It matches the Rfam family "Bacterial small subunit ribosomal RNA", at positions 30 to 523 of the family's 1533-position model. The record is from RNAcentral.
AUUGAACGCUGGCGGCAUGCUUUACACAUGCAAGUCGAACGGUAACAGGCCGCAAGGUGCUGACGAGUGGCGAACGGGUGAGUAAUGCAUCGGAACGUGCCCAGUCGUGGGGGAUAACGCAGCGAAAGCUGUGCUAAUACCGCAUACGAUCUAUGGAUGAAAGCGGGGGACCGUAAGGCCUCGCGCGAUUGGAGCGGCCGAUGUCAGAUUAGGUAGUUGGUGGGGUGAAGGCCCACCAAGCCAAAGAUCUGUAGCUGGUCUGAGAGACGACCAGCCACACUGGGACUGAGACACGGCCCAGACUCCUACGGGAGGCAGCAGUGGGGAAUUUUGGACAAUGGGCGCAAGCCUGAUCCAGCAAUGCCGCGUGCAGGAAGAAGGCCUUCGGGUUGUAAACUGCUUUUGUACGGAACGAAACGGUCUGGGUUAAUACCCUGGGCUAAUGACGGUACCGUAAGAAUAAGCACCGGCUAACUACGUGCCAGCCGCCGCGGUAA